Molecule: ribosomal RNA, 1341 nt
Filed under: uncultured bacterium
Lineage: Bacteria
Description: partial 16S ribosomal RNA
Rfam family: Bacterial small subunit ribosomal RNA
Source: RNAcentral
GACGAACGCUGGCGGCGUGCUUAACACAUGCAAGUCGAACGGUAAGGCUCCAGCUUGCUGGGGUACACGAGUGGCGAACGGGUGAGUAACACGUGGGUGACCUGCCCUGCACUUCGGGAUAAGCCUGGGAAACUGGGUCUAAUACCGGAUAGGACCGCACCGUGAGGGUGUGGUGGAAAGUUUUUUCGGUGUGGGAUGGGCCCGCGGCCUAUCAGCUUGUUGGUGGGGUAAUGGCCUACCAAGGCGGCGACGGGUAGCCGGCCUGAGAGGGUGGACGGCCACAUUGGGACUGAGACACGGCCCAGACUCCUACGGGAGGCAGCAGUGGGGAAUAUUGCACAAUGGGCGGAAGCCUGAUGCAGCGACGCCGCGUGGGGGAUGACGGCCUUCGGGUUGUAAACUCCUUUCACCAUCGACGAAGGGUUUCUGACGGUAGAUGGAGAAGAAGCACCGGCUAACUACGUGCCAGCAGCCGCGGUAAUACGUAGGGUGCGAGCGUUGUCCGGAAUUACUGGGCGUAAAGAGCUCGUAGGUGGUUUGUCGCGUCGUCUGUGAAAUUCCGGGGCUUAACUCCGGGCGUGCAGGCGAUACGGGCAUAACUUGAGUACUGUAGGGGAGACUGGAAUUCCUGGUGUAGCGGUGAAAUGCGCAGAUAUCAGGAGGAACACCGGUGGCGAAGGCGGGUCUCUGGGCAGUAACUGACGCUGAGGAGCGAAAGCAUGGGGAGCGAACAGGAUUAGAUACCCUGGUAGUCCAUGCCGUAAACGGUGGGCGCUAGGUGUGGGUUUCCUUCCACGGGAUCCGUGCCGUAGCUAACGCAUUAAGCGCCCCGCCUGGGGAGUACGGCCGCAAGGCUAAAACUCAAAGGAAUUGACGGGGGCCCGCACAAGCGGCGGAGCAUGUGGAUUAAUUCGAUGCAACGCGAAGAACCUUACCUGGGCUUGACAUAUACAGGAUCGCGCCAGAGAUGGUGUUUCCCUUGUGGCUUGUAUACAGGUGGUGCAUGGUUGUCGUCAGCUCGUGUCGUGAGAUGUUGGGUUAAGUCCCGCAACGAGCGCAACCCUUGUCUUAUGUUGCCAGCACGUUGUGGUGGGGACUCGUAAGAAACUGCCGGGGUUAACUCGGAGGAAGGUGGGGAUGACGUCAAAUCAUCAUGCCCCUUAUGUCCAGGGCUUCACACAUGCUACAAUGGUCGGUACAGUGAGUUGCCAGUCCGUGAGGGCGAGCUAAUCCCGCAAAGCCGGUCUCAGUUCGGAUCGGGGUCUGCAACUCGACCCCGUGAAGUCGGAGUCGCUAGUAAUCGCAGAUCAGCAACGCUGCGGUGAAUACGUUCCCGGGCCU